GAGCUGGUCAUGUGAUUGUCAUUUAGACCAUGAGUGGUAUCUAUGUACUGUACUGUACCUACUCAUACCCUACCCAGUGUCUCCAAAUUGUCUUCGCGGAGUUGGUGGAGUUGGUGGAGUGGACUUUGGAGUCGAUCAACGCCAUUUGAGUCGAGUUAAUGAGGCGGACAAGUCCGUGGAUUGGAUUCGAUUGACAUCACUCUGACAUAUGUCACUUUUGGUGUCAGAGCUGACUACAUAUACCAAGUACAGUACAAUACACACUAUACCU
RNAcentral lists this unclassified non-coding RNA (271 nucleotides) under Yarrowia lipolytica. The record is from RNAcentral. Lineage: Eukaryota; Fungi; Ascomycota; Dipodascomycetes; Dipodascales.